This 253-nucleotide ribosomal RNA is filed under the name uncultured bacterium. RNAcentral's name for it is "partial 16S ribosomal RNA". It matches the Rfam family "Bacterial small subunit ribosomal RNA", at positions 524 to 776 of the family's 1533-position model. The record is from RNAcentral.
UACAGAGGAUGCAAGCGUUAUCCGGAAUGAUUGGGCGUAAAGCGUCUGUAGGUGGCUUUUUAAGUCCGCCGUCAAAUCCCAGGGCUCAACUCUGGACAGGCGGUGGAAACUACCAAGCUGGAGUACGGUAGGGGCAGAGGGAAUUUCCAGUGGAGCGGUGAAAUGCGUAGAUCUUGGAAAGACCACCAAUGGCGAAGGCACUCUACUGGGCCAUUACUGACACUAAGAGACGAAAGCUAGGGGAGCAAAUGGG